This 428-nucleotide ribosomal RNA is filed under the name uncultured bacterium. RNAcentral's name for it is "bacterial SSU rRNA". It matches the Rfam family "Bacterial small subunit ribosomal RNA", at positions 30 to 449 of the family's 1533-position model. The record is from RNAcentral.
AUUGAACGCUGGCGGCGCGCCUAAUACAUGCAAGUCGAGCGAGAAGACGUAGCAAUACGUUUGUAAAGCGGCGAACGGGUGAGGAAUACGUGGGUAACCUACCCUCGAGUGGGGAAUAACUAGCCGAAAGGUUAGCUAAUACCGCGUACGCUCCUUGGACUUCGGUUCAGGGAGGAAAGCGAUAUCGUGGGUAUCGCGCUCUUGGUUGGGCUCAUGUCCUAUCAGCUUGUUGGUGAGGAACGGCUCACCAAGGCUUCGACGGGUAGCUGGUCUGAGAGGACGAUCAGCCACACUGGCACUGCGACACGGGCCAGACUCCUACGGGAGCAGCAGUAAGGAAUAUUGCGCAAUGGGCGAAAGCCUGGCGCAGCGACGCCGCGUGGGGGAUGAAGGUCUUCGGAUUGUAAACCCCUUUCGGGAGGGAAGAU